AGAGUUUGAUCCUGGCUCAGAUUGAACGCUGGCGGCAUGCUUUACACAUGCAAGUCGAACGGCAGCACGGAGAGCUUGCUCUCUGGUGGCGAGUGGCGAACGGGUGAGUAAUAUAUCGGAACGUGUCCAAUAAUGGGGGAUAACUAGUCGAAAGAUUAGCUAAUACCGCAUACGCCCUGAGGGGGAAAGUGGGGGAUCUUCGGACCUCACGUUAAUGGAGCGGCCGAUAUCUGAUUAGCUAGUUGGUAGGGUAAAAGCCUACCAAGGCGACGAUCAGUAGCUGGUCUGAGAGGAUGAUCAGCCACACUGGGACUGAGACACGGCCCAGACUCCUACGGGAGGCAGCAGUGGGGAAUUUUGGACAAUGGGCGCAAGCCUGAUCCAGCCAUGCCGCGUGAGUGAAGAAGGCCUUCGGGUUGUAAAGCUCUUUCGCAAGGAAAGAAAACUUACAUGUAAAUAAUGUGUGAGGUUGACGGUACCUUGAUAAGAAGCACCGGCUAACUACGUGCCAGCAGCCGCGGUAAUACGUAGGGUGCAAGCGUUAAUCGGAAUUACUGGGCGUAAAGCGAGCGCAGGCGGUUUUGUAGGUCAGAUGUGAAAGCCCCGGGCUCAACCUGGGAACUGCGUUUGAAACUACAAGGCUAGAGUAUGGGAGAGGGGGGUAGAAUUCCACGUGUAGCAGUGAAAUGCGUAGAGAUGUGGAGGAAUACCAAUGGCGAAGGCAGCCCCCUGGCCUAAUACUGACGCUCAGGCUCGAAAGCGUGG
RNAcentral lists this ribosomal RNA (765 nucleotides) under uncultured Methylobacillus sp. RNAcentral's name for it is "bacterial SSU rRNA". It matches the Rfam family "Bacterial small subunit ribosomal RNA", at positions 8 to 764 of the family's 1533-position model. The record is from RNAcentral. Lineage: Bacteria; Pseudomonadati; Pseudomonadota; Betaproteobacteria; Nitrosomonadales; Methylophilaceae.